Molecule: ribosomal RNA, 468 nt
Filed under: uncultured bacterium
Lineage: Bacteria
Description: partial 16S ribosomal RNA
Rfam family: Bacterial small subunit ribosomal RNA
Source: RNAcentral
GACGAACGCUGGCGGCGUGCUUAACACAUGCAAGUCGAACGGAAAGGCCCUGCUCUUGUGGGGUGCUCGAGUGGCGAACGGGUGAGUAACACGUGAGUAACAUGCCCUUGACUUUGGGAUAACUUCAGGAAACUGGGGCUAAUACCGGAUAGGAGCUCCUGCUGCAUGGUGGGGGAUGGAAAGUUUCGGCGGUUGGGGAUGGACUCGCGGCUUAUCAGCUUGUUGGUGGGGUAGUGGCUUACCAAGUCUUUGACGGGUAGCCGGCCUGAGAGAGUGACCGGGCACAUUGGGACUGAGAGACGGCCCAGACUCCUACGGGAGGCAGCAGGGGGGAAUAUUGCAGAGUGGGCGGAAGCCUGAUGCAGCAACGCCGCGUGCGGGAUGACGGCCUUCGGGUUGUAAACCGCUUUCGCCUGUGACGAAGCGUGAGUGACGGUAAUGGGUAAAGAAGCACCGGCUAACUACGUG